This 414-nucleotide long non-coding RNA is filed under the name Homo sapiens (human). RNAcentral describes it as "HSALNT0173517". The record is from RNAcentral. Lineage: Eukaryota; Metazoa; Chordata; Mammalia; Primates; Hominidae.
CUUUACGAAGACUUUGAAUAUCCAAAUUGCUUUGAUUUUAAACUCACCAUUUAUAUUUUAGGUAAAUUUAAUGCAAAUCUUCAGUUCAAGUGCACAGAAUUUGUUUAAAAACCCUGAAGAUGCUUUCAUGAUCUACACAUCUGUCAUUGCUGUUGCUUAUCACCGUUCCUGGGAAUCUGGCACUUCAUCAGCCGUCUUUCUUUCCAUGUAAUGAACACUGUUCUCCCUGACUCAGGUCAUGAGGAUAGAGCCCUCAUGUAUGGGAUUAGUGCUCUAAAAAGACCUCAGAACGUUCCAUUUCUCCUUCUGCCAUGUGAGCUGAUAGCAAGAAGACAGCUGUCUAUGAACCAGGAAAUGAAUCCUCACCAGACAGCAAAUCUGCCAGCCUCUUGAUCUUGGACCUCCCAGGCUUCA